This 253-nucleotide ribosomal RNA is filed under the name uncultured bacterium. RNAcentral describes it as "partial 16S ribosomal RNA". It matches the Rfam family "Bacterial small subunit ribosomal RNA", at positions 524 to 776 of the family's 1533-position model. The record is from RNAcentral.
GACAGAGGUGCCAAGCGUUAGGCGGAAUCACUGGGCUUAAAGCGUGUGUAGGCGGGUCGUUAAGUACCUUGUGAAAUCCCCCGGCUCAACCGGGGAACGGCUGGGUAUACUGGCGAUCUUGAGCGACCUAGGGGCAGUCGGAACAAGUGGUGGAGCGGUGAAAUGCGUAGAUAUCUGGAGGAACACCGGUGGCGAAGGCGGCAUCCUGGACCGGCACUGACGCUGAGGAGCGAAAGCCAGGGGAGCAAACGGG